UUGCCGGCGCCCGGGAAGCUGGCUAGAGCGAUGAGCUUCUUCGACUUGGCUGGGAGGAACCUUCUGUCCAUACAGCGGUUGUCUGCGGGGGGUGGGGGGAGGGCGGCAGAAGGGUCAGCACGGUGUGCCCUGGAGACAAGGUCAUAGUAGGAGGAGGAGAGGCACUGUGCUGUGUGGAGCGCACAGUAGGGACCAGCAUUAGUCCAGUAGGAGGACAAGCCUCCUGUCCAGUCUCAGUUGUCUCCAGCACAGCAAGUCUCUCACAAUCGGUGGUUGCAAUGGUUCAACUGGACUGGUAAGUCGAUGGGACCGAGAGCCCGCCUACUGGAGACUGAAGCCCCACCCACUGCAGCCCCUACCUGAGCCAGAAAGCUCUCUGGUGCCUUUUGGUGUCAGAAAACAAGGGUUAGGGGCCGUUAAGUGGUCAUGGACCACACCACACUUAAAAAGUUGCCUCUCCCUCUACAGAAAGGAGACUUAAAAAAAAAAAGAAAGUCCG
RNAcentral lists this long non-coding RNA (499 nucleotides) under Rattus norvegicus (Norway rat). RNAcentral describes it as "long non-coding RNA NONRATT007632". The record is from RNAcentral. Lineage: Eukaryota; Metazoa; Chordata; Mammalia; Rodentia; Muridae.